Molecule: non-coding RNA, 72 nt
Organism: Sodiomyces alkalinus F11
Lineage: Eukaryota; Fungi; Ascomycota; Sordariomycetes; Glomerellales; Plectosphaerellaceae
Source: the annotation of a RefSeq genome assembly
GGGCGUAUAGCUCAGGGGUAGAGCGCCCGCUUCGCAUGCGGGAGGCCUUGGGUUCAAUUCCCAAUUCGUCCA